GUGACGAGUAAUAAAUAAAGGCAUACACUACAACUAUCGUCGUAUCAUGUCGUUUCUAACAUUACAUAUUGUCUUUUUGCGAUGUCAAACUGCAGCAUAUCAUGAAAAGAUGUUUUGUUCGUGGUAUAUUAGUCAUAAGCUUGAAAACGAGUAAAUCUGUUGGGUUUUUUUUUGUAAAAAAAAAGACAUUUGACUUGAUGCUAAAUUGAUACUAUUUGUUCCAAUUUAAUGGUAAAGUCACCACUGAUUUUAUUUAUAAAUUGAAUGAAUGUAUAGCAUAAAAGCCGUUUAUUUUUUUUAAAUCAUGAAUUUUUAAUAAAAAUAAUUCAUUUAUAAAUAAGUGUAAUGACGACGUCUCCUCUGCAAAAAAAAAAAAUCUAUGUGUUUAUAUCUGCUUGCUGACGUCACAAUCACACGAUUCAGUUCAGUGCGUGCAUCCUAAAAUACAAUAGGGGUUUUGCCCUGUUGGAAGCGAAUUAAAAUGUGUACGUAGAUUUAAAACAAAAGAUACAUGCAGAUCAGGUUCGAUUUGCUUAAAAUACAAAAUUUAAUACAGUGCACACGCAAUAGUAUCAUUCAGUAGAUAAGACAAAUUCCGGGAAGCUCUAUAAAAUAAGAGAACAUUUAUAAAGGAAGAUGUAAGGAUAUUUUUUGUAGGUGUGUUAAAUCCUAAUGUUCCUACACAUAUCAUAAUUUGAAUAUAAACAAACAUGUUGCAUGGACCAAUUUUCGCGUGUUAAUGAAGACAUUUUUUCAACGCAGGCUUGAAAAUGGGAUCGUUUCUAUUAGUGAUAUAUUGAAGAUGCAAAAACAGGGGUUGCAAAGAUGAACAUAUAAACCUUAAUUUACAGUGUCUUAUUUAGUGACGGCUGAUUCUUGUAAAAAAUGUUGCAAUGUAAAAUUCGAUGUAAAUGUAAAUAAAACUGUUCUGUAAAGUCAUUGUCUGGUUUUCUAGUCGUUUGGUUUUCGUAAAAUCAUAAUAUGAACGGGUAAUAUUAGCAAGAUUAAAUAUUCAGAUGUAAAUAUGGAUAUAGUAUAUGACAGAUCAGUGGAAUUUGCCUGUUUUUUCUGUCACUAAUGCUUUCCGUUGUAUGUAUAGAAUAGAGGCCACUUAAUGUAAAAAAAUAUAUAAAUAAUUCGGUUGUUACAAAAAAUGAAGAUGAAAUAUUAUACGGUAUGAUUUGAUCAAAUAAAACAAAUGAAAAAUACCCAAAUUUUUU
This 1220-nucleotide long non-coding RNA is filed under the name Mytilus galloprovincialis (Mediterranean mussel). The record is from RNAcentral. Lineage: Eukaryota; Metazoa; Mollusca; Bivalvia; Mytilida; Mytilidae.